RNAcentral lists this ribosomal RNA (465 nucleotides) under uncultured bacterium. RNAcentral's name for it is "partial 16S ribosomal RNA". It matches the Rfam family "Bacterial small subunit ribosomal RNA", at positions 28 to 507 of the family's 1533-position model. The record is from RNAcentral.
GACGAACGCUGGCGGCGUGCUUAACACAUGCAAGUCGAACGGAAAGGCCCUGCUUGCCGGGUACUCGAGUGGCGAACGGGUGAGUAACACGUGGGUUAUCUGCCCUGCACUUCGGGAUAAGCCUGGGAAACUGGGUCUAAUACCGGAUAGGAGCCAUUUUUAGUGUGAUGGUUGGAAAGUUUUUUCGGUGUAGGAUGAGCUCGCGGCCUAUCAGCUUGUUGGUGGGGUAAUGGCCUACCAAGGCGGCGACGGGUAGCCGGCCUGAGAGGGUGGACAGCCACAUUGGGACUGAGAUACGGCCCAGACUCCUACGGGAGGCGGCAGUGGGGAAUAUUGCACAAUGGGCGCAAGCCUGAUGCAGCGACGCCGCGUGGGGGAUGACGGCCUUCGGGUUGUAAACUCCUUUCGCUAGGGACGAAGCUUUUUGUGACGGUACCUAGAUAAGAAGCACCGGCUAACUACGUG